GGGCUCGUGGUCUAGUGGCUAUGACGCUGCCCUUACAAGGCGGAUGUCGCCGGUUCGAGUCCGGCCGGGCCCACCA
This 76-nucleotide transfer RNA is filed under the name Nanobdellota archaeon. RNAcentral's name for it is "tRNA-Val". It matches the Rfam family "tRNA". From Rfam's summary of the family: Transfer RNA (tRNA) molecules are approximately 80 nucleotides in length. Their secondary structure includes four short double-helical elements and three loops (D, anti-codon, and T loops). Lineage: Archaea; Nanobdellati; Nanobdellota. The record is from RNAcentral.